This 52-nucleotide microRNA precursor is filed under the name Pongo abelii (Sumatran orangutan). Its description in RNAcentral is "mir-1302 microRNA precursor family". It matches the Rfam family "mir-1302 microRNA precursor family". Lineage: Eukaryota; Metazoa; Chordata; Mammalia; Primates; Hominidae. The record is from Rfam by way of RNAcentral.
AUUUUAGUAUAAGUAUGUCCUAUGCAAUAUUUAGGACACAUUUAUAUUAAAG